GGGAAAUUCUAUGUCUCAUUCCCCUGGCUUCUCUAGGGGUAGUUUUUAAGCCUGAUGCACAAGCAAGUCCUAUGUGCUGCUGUCACUUAAUUCUGUAUGACAUGAUACACCAUACAUCACAUGUUUUAUUGCACUCUGUGCCAAUUUUUAGCAUAAGUCCUGUUUGUAUUGCUUAGGAAGGAAAUUCUGCUAUUGGACUAACAAGGCUUGCUUUAACAUCCAAGGAAGAUUCCCAUUGACUUCAGUGGAUGCUGGGAUAAGGUUUUAUGCAAGUCAGAAUUCUGGUGCAUGUUGGUACAAGAGGAAUUCAAUCUGUAGGUUGAAAGCAAUUAGGAACUUCAUUCUAGGCUAGUGCCAAACACCUACAGUCAUUAUUCAUAGCUGUGAAUGUCUUCAUGUGAAGGGCUUUAGUGUGACUAGUGUGAGCACUAGGAUCUGCACUUGGUAGUUAAGAGUGAGACUUCUGUUCCAGAUUUAUCUUCUGUCAAAUUUGAAGAAACAAACUGAGCCUUGGUUUGCUAUGUUAGUGGUCUGACUACGAGUCUCUGAAAAAUCUGGGAUUGAGCUGGGAAUGGGCAUUCUCAACUCCUGUUAAAAUGUUCUACAUUUAUAUAUAGCACUUAGUACUUCUCUUAAGAGAAUAACCGCAACGUAACACUCGACUGGGGAAGUCAGGUUCCAGUUCUUUGCCCUUUUUCUUCUUCCAUUCUGCAGGGCUCAAGUUUCACAGAUGUGUUCUGGGAUCCCUUGUAGGAAUAGCCUUGAAGAAGAGACAGGUGCAUAUUGAUGCAAGUUCCCAGAUGACAUGAAGCACUGUAACCAGUGGGCCAUUUUAGAAAAGGAGAAGCCUUAUGGGAUCCCUUGAAGCAUACUGGAAGAUGUAUUGCUUCAGCAGCCCAGCCAAGAUCCUGAAUGGGCAAAGGUGCAUGAUUCAGUCACCUAUGAUCUGGGGAGGAUUUCAGAUACAUUUUUCACAGCGUUUCUGGAUCCUUUGCUUGAGGAACUCAUACGCUCAAGAAGCCUUAGCACCAGGACUUCCUGAAUCAGCAAUUGCCAACAAAGACAUGCCUUGUAUAACAUCCUUAUGUGAGGCCUGUAAAAAGCUCAGAACAAAUAAUUAA
RNAcentral lists this long non-coding RNA (1121 nucleotides) under Dromaius novaehollandiae (emu). RNAcentral's name for it is "lncRNA (ENSDNVG00000008412.1)". Lineage: Eukaryota; Metazoa; Chordata; Aves; Casuariiformes; Dromaiidae. The record is from RNAcentral.